Molecule: long non-coding RNA, 3627 nt
Organism: Orcinus orca (killer whale)
Lineage: Eukaryota; Metazoa; Chordata; Mammalia; Artiodactyla; Delphinidae
Exons: 4
Source: RefSeq, a predicted model, not a curated record
CUGGCUUUGCCACCAAGCAAUUCUGCAAUCUUGAGAUUACCUUGACCUUUUCCUUCAUGUCUUCAAAAAUCUGUUAUUUUUCUUGAGGUGGUCCCCCAAGAUGAAGAGGGAAUUCGGCAAUUAUUUGGUGAGUUAUAUUGACAGCAGGAAAGGCAAUUUCCUGGUCCAUUCUAAUAAGGUAUACUAAAAGUGCUGUUCGUUUUGGUCAAGUUAGCUAGCUGCUUCUAAACAGAUUUUUUUUUUUCGCUCCAUAGAGAUGCAGCAUGUGAUGAUGGAGGCUACGUUUCACCUGAGGUAGAGGAGAAUUUUAAGGAAAGAUGAAACAGUUCAACUCAGAGGUCUCACACCUACUCUGGAGGACACAGAAAGAAGAGAAUUAGGAAAACAGAUAAAGGACUUUUAGGUUAUUUUCCAAUGCCAUUAAAAUUCAGAUAGUGACUUUUUUUUUUUUUCGUAGAAAUCAGUUAAUGUUUUGUGUUUUUUUCCAACCAAACUCAGCCAGAGUGUUCUUUUUUUUUAAUUUUUAUUUUAUAUUGGAGUAUAGUUGAUUUACAAUGUUAUGUUAGUUUCAGGUGUACAGAUAGUGACCUUUAUAAAAUGGUUUGAGAAGGAAAAGAAGUUACUAUAUCAGUGCAACAUCUCACUAAGGGCAGAAAACAGUUUUCUAUGUGAGAGGCUUUUUUCCUCUCCUUCACUUAACAAAAAGUACAGCAACUAGUGGCUGCCCUCAUGGCUUAUGUAAGCUCACUGAUAGCUGCAUAGCUAUGGUGAAAACAGAAGCCUUGAACCAGGCAGGGUGGGUGCAUCCACUCACAUGUGCUUGUGAUUCCCUUUGAUGUACCAGGCACUGUGUGCUAGCAGCUGGGGAUACAGUGUUAAGGCGGAACAAGCUGGAAACCUGGCGUGAUGACUGUUGUGAAGUGGGAUCAGUAGGAUGAUUUGGGAAUGUAAUUAGGAGCCUAAUCUAGUUGGUGGGAGGCUCCGAGGGAAAGCCACUAUGAAGAAGUGGUAGUUCAGCUGAGACUUGAAGGCUGAGUAGGAGUAAGCCAGGUGAAAGGGAGGCACAUUAAGGAAGGAGAAACAACAUGUGCAAAAUACCUGAGACAAAUGAGAACCUUCCGUAUUCAAGGAAACUGAAAAAAAUGGACUGUGAACAGUAAAGGAGAGCGCCUCCUGAGAUGGGCUAGCCAAGAAGGCAAGGCCGACUGAGAUAUCAGCUCCUUUCUUCCUUGACAGUGAAAAAGAAACAAGUAGCAGUGGUGCAAUUCUGGCUGUGGCUAUUGCCCAGAUUUGAGGUGUGUUGGUCUCAAAGCCCCCUUUCAUACCUUAUAGCUGAAAUGUGAUCAUCAGAUCUUCAACCCACUUAUGACUUCUUCCACACAGCUAGAUGUUAGGUUACCAGCUUUUUUCUCCAGCUUUACUGAGGUAUAACGGGCAAAACCGUAGGAUAUUUAAAGCAUACAACAUAAUGAUUAGAUUCUCCUCAUUGUGAAUGGAUGGCUAAAACUGAGUUUAUUAUUAACACAAGCUUAAUAAUAAACACAAAGUUAUCAGCUUUUAAAUCUUAGGGCUAACAAACUCUUAACUCUACGUUUUGUCAUAGGUGUUGAGUGGGUACUGGGUGCCUGAGGGGGCAGGGGCCCCUGAGAUUUGUAGGGCCACUUUCCGUAACCCUUUCAACCUUGCAGAAUGUCUGCUAUUACAGGAGUCAACAUGACACUGUACAGCAGCUCUGCCCUGGCUCCAAAGACUGCAGCUUUUCUUUUUAGUUGAUUCCCAGUGCUGCCUUCUUCCUUCCAGGCCCUGGCCUGAAGCUGUAGGGAAGUUGUGUAUCUGCUUCUUCAAUGAGAUUCCCUUUCUGAGAAUAGCAUGGGCAAAAUUUCUCUGCUACGUUUGUCAUCUUCCCUUCUUUAAUAUCGUUCAUUGGCUACCCAAAUUUGCCCACUUUGACAUUCUCAACAUCCCCCUUCACCCAAGAACAAUAACUGCAUUGAACAACAACAACAAGAAGCAAUGAUAAAAAAUAAAAACAUAGCCUGAGUGAUCCAAUACAGAGACAAUACAAGCCUUUGGGUGAAUUUAUACUAAAGUGUAAAUGACUGAAACAUGCAUAUCUUCUCCAGUCUCCCUUGUGAAAAGUACAUUCUCUUGCAUAUUUUUAUUUUAAAGAAGUUUGCCUAUUAGCCUGAGGUUUUAAUUAGCCAGUGAAUCAAAAUGAAGUCUUUCUAACUGCAUAAAGUAUUUUAGACCACAGGAUCAUUUUUUUCUGAAACCUUUGGCACCAGCAGGCAGCCACGGACACUGCCAAAAGGAAUUAGACUCUGGACUGAUUUUCAUGUAUUAGUUAUUUUUACCCUCUUCAAAAUCUAUCAACUGUUCAAACCUGCAUACACAAACAGGAACAUUGGGAAGAAGAGUCCCAGAGGGUGGAAGAUCCCCUACUCAUCCCACGUGCCUCACCUCAUGUCACACACUCCUCUCUCUCUCCCCUUGCUGGGGACCUACCCCAAGGCCAUCCCAGCUGGUCUCAAGGCACUGACCGAGUCCUGCUUCACAGCCGCUGGAAGUGCCAACCCACUCGCGUCCCCAGACCCGAUCCUUCCACGGGACACCCAGCUAGGGUCUACAGCGAGUGACCCUGCCGUGGGAGGCGCGGCCCCCCAUCACCUGCCCAAGCCGGCGGAGCAGGGCCUGAAGCCCCGCGCGCUCAGCCAACCGCAGCUCCCCAGGCCGCUAUCCAGGACCCAACUCAGGCGAGCACAGGACCCCCUGUUUGGGGUUAUUUGUUCGCCUCCCUCCUGGUUCCUGCUCCCAAACCUUCCACCCAGCAGCCGCCGCCAGCGCACCCGAACCGCAGGAAAGUUGCUCUCUAGCUGUGGAGGGGAGUCAUCGCCUCCUAGCAACGCUCCUAGCAACCGGUAACAUCUGCUCCCUCUGGUCCAAUGCGAGCCGAGAACAGCUGCGCGCCCGCCUCGCGUCGCGAACCCUGAGCGAGAGGAGCUUCAGAGACUGGAGGGACGGACCUGCAGGAGCCAGGGCAGCCCGCCGAGCUGCAGUUGCCGCUGCUGCCACUGUCGCGCCGCCGCCGCCGUCGCUGUCAGCGCCCGUCUGAAGAGUGACAGCGCCGCAAAACGGGAGGGAGCACCGGAUCCCGCGCCUUUAUGAAACAGGUAGCCAUUCAUGAGCCCGAGGCUUUGAGAAAUGCUCGCUGUGCAAAGGGGAACUCUCACCAGAUUUUCUGAAGCUGUCCUAGAGAUACACUUUUCAGAUUGAUUCAGCAUUACCAGCUUAUCCAACAAAAGUAUUAACACAUACGUUAACAACGUCGAAAGUAGCCUACUUUAAGAGAAAAUAUGCAGAAGAAGAAGAUUUACAUCAAGAUUACCAUGGGUAUUUUCCAAAACACCUGAUACUGCCUGAGGACAGGACUUGCAUUCUCAAACUUUCUCUAGAGAAGCUCAGAUUUCUUGAAGACCCAGAAACCUACUUAAGAAGGUCUGUGUUAAUUAACAAUUUGCUGAGGAAGAUCCAUCUAGAGACGGAGAAAGAGAGCUAUGAAUACUUUAAAGAAGCUCCCUGUUAUAAGACUGCUUAUUCUGAUACAAGAAAACGGCUGAAGUUUAUGGU